UCCGUGCAUGUGUCAGAUUGACUGCAGGGCC
RNAcentral lists this non-coding RNA (31 nucleotides) under Homo sapiens (human). Lineage: Eukaryota; Metazoa; Chordata; Mammalia; Primates; Hominidae. The record is from RNAcentral.